AUUCUAGCAUUCAAUACAAAAGCACUAAGUGAAAAAGUCAGUAUUGCCCUUUCUGAUUUUUUUUUCGUAAAGGUUUCCGAACGUUUCCGACCCUGUAUCGGCAGUUUCCGACCGUUUCUGGCCAUACUAGCGCGUACCUGGUGCCUGCCUUGUGUGUUCAGAAAGUGUUCUCGGAAAUGCGCCGGAAACGUCCGAAAACGCGUCCGUAAAUAAAUCAAAACGUGGUGGCAACACCGACUUUGAACCUUAGUGUUUAGCUUCUCCUCUUCGCAAAACGCAGUGAUCCUUUCAAAAUUUCCAUUUUCAAGUUAUCAAUUUCAACACUUGAACCCCAAUUCUGUUUCACCUCCAAAACUCUCCAACUGUUGUGAUUCAUUGACUCAAAUUUCUUUCCAUAGCUUUAGAAUUUCCAUCUGGGUCUGAUAAGUUUGCUCUAAAGACUCAAACUUUUGUAUCUCAGUGCUCAAUUCUUCCAAAUUUCUAUCUAGGUCUGUUUAUCUGGUCAGUUACAGAGUCCCAUCCUAUUCACUUUGUGGGCCAUUCCGCCGGAGCUCAGGUCGUCCGUGUUCUCCAGAAAAUGCUUGCUGAUAAGGCUUUUGAGGGGUUUGAGAAUACUAAUGAGAAUUGGGUAUUGAGCAUCACGUCAUUAUCUGGAGCGUUCAAUGGGACUACCAGAACGUACUAGGAUGGAAUGCAGCCUGAGGAUGGCAAAACCCUGAAGCCCAUAUGUCUGCUGCAACUAUGUCGCAUAGGAGUUAUUCUUUAUGUCUGAUGCCUCACCCCCGUAUAAGGAAUACAAAGAUGAGGAUUGGCUAGAAAAUGAUGGGGCUCUGAAUACCAUCUCCAUGACUCACCCUCGUCUCCCUGUUGAGCACCCAAGCCGUUUUGUGAAAGAUGAUUCAUAGUGCCACCCCUUUCAACCAGGCAUCUGUAUGAAAACUGAACAAGAUAUGUAGAAGAUAUUCGUGAAGGUUAAUUGAUUCUGUUAUUAGUUGGCUGAUUCUAUCAUUGC
Molecule: RNA transcript, 1012 nt
Organism: Fragaria vesca subsp. vesca
Lineage: Eukaryota; Viridiplantae; Streptophyta; Magnoliopsida; Rosales; Rosaceae
Exons: 4
Source: RefSeq, a predicted model, not a curated record